AUGCCCAUAGGUACCGCCGCAACCACCAUGCCCACCGUUGCCUCCUGGAUCCUCCUCCAUGUCCAUGCCACCGUCCGCCAACCUCCCAAAAACGCCUCCGCCGUCGCCCACUCGAGCAAUAACGAGAAAAUAUAUGCUUCCCUUCUCCGCCAGCGCCCGCCGGUUCCCUCCAAUCUGUACGUGUACUGCGCAGACGGCACAUUCGGAGAGACCCCCCGCGUGCUGUCAAUGGUGGACGACAUCAUCCUCUUCCACGCAUACAUCGGUCCUGCGUUCCCCUCCCCCAAGCCAUGGAAGGGGGACUUCUUCAUAUACCGGUCUGACUCCAAUCGACGGUCUCUGGAGCGUCUACCGCACCCCCAAGGUAUGAUCGGAAGGGACGAUCCAUUCGGCAUCUUUCCCCGAGAGGGCGACAGCUACACAAUCGCGGCGCUGUUACCCAGCAUAUCCUCUAUGUACGAUUUUGAACUCCACCUCUUCGACUCGGAGACUCGGAUUUGGAGCAGGAAGAAUCUGACUGUUGGGUCGCGACAGGAAAGGUUCAAGGUUGAUAUCCCCAUCAACAUAAGUCAGAUCUUACACCAUAACACAUCCACUGUGAUCACUCUUGGAGGCUCCAUGUGCUGGGUUGAUCUUUGGCGUGGUAUAUUGUUCUGUGACAUGCUCUCCGAGAAACAUGCACUCACAGGUGUUCCACUGCCACUGCCAUUGAUCUACUAUUCUGGUGAUAGAAGCAAGAUCCUAGGACCUGCGAAGUGUCACCGUAGCAUUGCUUUUCUUGAUGGAUGCACCAGGCUCGUUGAGGUGAAUUCUGAUGUCAGUAUUGCCGAAGGAACUGAAUUUGGUUGUGGCCGAACUGAAGACUGGACGAUUACCACAUGGUACAACAAUAAUGUGCAUAAUAAUUCUUAUGAUGAUUGGCAUCCGGACAUCACACUAAAAGCUUCCAACAUCAUCCUGGGCAACCACUCCGUGAAGCUGCCGUUAGGCUUGCAGUACCUUUUUGUUUCUGACCCAACUAUUUGCAUGAACAAUAGGGAUGGCUAUAUUGUUUACCUGACUGCGAGGGAGAAGUAUAUGCAUUCUAAGUCAUGGAUUAUUGCUAUUGAUUUGAAAAAGCGCAAGGUGCAAAGUGUGGUUCUGUCUGGUCCUGUACCUCCGCCAAUGCCGCGCAUUGACACUAACUACUGCACUUGUAGUAUCUCCAAGUACUGUACCAGCACUUCAACAGGAAUUAUGCAGGAAAUUAUGCAGGUUCAUUUUCCUCCGGAAAAACAAACUGUGAUGCGUUCGGUUCAAAGGAUGACUGGUCGCUCGUUACAUAGGAAAGUGAACCUGGCCUGUACAUUUCACGGGAAUUAG
This 1362-nucleotide ribosomal RNA is filed under the name Triticum aestivum (bread wheat). Its description in RNAcentral is "partial small subunit ribosomal RNA". The record is from RNAcentral. Lineage: Eukaryota; Viridiplantae; Streptophyta; Magnoliopsida; Poales; Poaceae.